CUGGCUUGAUAUCCUUGGGGUUGUCAUCCUCUCCUGAGUCCCCAUACAGCUUGAAAGUGUUAUCAAAGCAGACACUGCGGACCCUGGGCUCAAAGUCAGGGAUAAUCAAUCAUCAGAAGUGCAAGGACACUGAGUGGCGUGCUUGACGAUGACUGAGGAAAACAGCAUGUUGGCAGAGUUUGUUGGAUCGCGACUUGUAAUCACUGAAUGCAGUUUGAGAUCAAAGUGAGCUGUAUUGGACCUUUCGUGAAGGAGAAGGUGUCAUUGUAAACCUUGGAUACUUCUUAUAGCGUUUUGGUCAGUUUGCUCUUCAGCAUUGAUGCAGCUGGAAUUCUACACACAGCGGACAGGCGGUGUGCUGCUGGAAGGAAAUAUAGGUGCUUCAUCUGCAUCAGGAGGAUAACUGGUGAUGAGCCACGACAAUAUGGA
RNAcentral lists this small RNA (429 nucleotides) under Histoplasma ohiense. Its description in RNAcentral is "hypothetical lncRNA". The record is from RNAcentral. Lineage: Eukaryota; Fungi; Ascomycota; Eurotiomycetes; Onygenales; Ajellomycetaceae.